AACGAACGCUGGCGGCAUGCCUAACACAUGCAAGUCGAACGAGACCUUCGGGUCUAGUGGCGCACGGGUGCGUAACGCGUGGGAACCUGCCCUUAGGUUCGGAAUAACUCCCCGAAAGGGGUGCUAAUACCGGAUAAUGUCUUCGGACCAAAGAUUUAUCGCCUUUGGAUGGGCCCGCGUUGGAUUAGCUAGUUGGUAGGGUAAAAGCCUACCAAGGCGACGAUCCAUAGCUGGUCUGAGAGGAUGAUCAGCCACACUGGGACUGAGACACGGCCCAGACUCCUACGGGAGGCAGCAGUGGGGAAUAUUGGACAAUGGGCGAAAGCCUGAUCCAGCAAUGCCGCGUGAGUGAUGAAGGCCUUAGGGUUGUAAAGCUCUUUUACCCGGGAUGAUAAUGACUGUACCGGGAGAAUAAGCGCCGGCUAACUCCGUG
RNAcentral lists this ribosomal RNA (433 nucleotides) under uncultured bacterium. RNAcentral's name for it is "partial 16S ribosomal RNA". It matches the Rfam family "Bacterial small subunit ribosomal RNA", at positions 29 to 507 of the family's 1533-position model. The record is from RNAcentral.